AGACCGGGAGACUUUCUAACGGGAAGAAAGUCAAGAAUAGGUUUUCAUUAUUCCACUCUCGUGUGGGAAUGCAUUUGGUACCCGACAGAUUGCAUU
This 96-nucleotide non-coding RNA is filed under the name unclassified sequences. RNAcentral describes it as "Rhodo-rpoB RNA". It matches the Rfam family "Rhodo-rpoB RNA". The record is from RNAcentral.